UAGGCCUCAGUAUCUGGCCGAAUAAA
Molecule: unclassified non-coding RNA, 26 nt
Filed under: Mus musculus (house mouse)
Lineage: Eukaryota; Metazoa; Chordata; Mammalia; Rodentia; Muridae
Description: oocyte_clustered_small_RNA2961
Source: RNAcentral